Non-coding RNA from Phyllosticta citrichinensis, 82 nucleotides. Lineage: Eukaryota; Fungi; Ascomycota; Dothideomycetes; Botryosphaeriales; Phyllostictaceae. The record is from the annotation of a GenBank genome assembly.
GGGUUGGUGGUGGAGUGGAAAUAUGCGCCGUGGCUACAGUCGCGCCCAUGGCGAGUCGUAGGUUCAAGUCCUGCCCAAUCUG